GAUGAAGAACGUAGUGAAAUGCGAUAAGUAAUGUGAAUUGCAGAAUUCAGUGAAUCAUCGAAUCUUUGAACGCACAUUGCGCCCGCCAGUAUUCUGGCGGGCAUGCCUGUUCGAGCGUCAUUACAACCCUCAGGCCCCCGGGCCUGGCGUUGGGGAUCGGCGGAGCCCCCCGUGGGCACACGCCGUCCCCCAAAUACAGUGGCGGUCCCGCCGCAGCUUCCAUCGCGUAGUAGCUAACACCUCGCGACUGGAGAGCGGCGCGGCCACGCCGUAAAACACCCAACUCUUCUGAAGUUGACCUCGAAUCAGGUAGGAAUACCCGCUGAACUUAAGCAUAUCAAUAAGCGGAGA
This 351-nucleotide unclassified non-coding RNA is filed under the name soil metagenome. Its description in RNAcentral is "partial contains 5.8S ribosomal RNA, internal transcribed spacer 2, and large subunit ribosomal RNA". The stretch from base 1 to 120 matches the Rfam family "5.8S ribosomal RNA", at positions 35 to 154 of the family's 154-position model. The record is from RNAcentral.